Molecule: ribosomal RNA, 244 nt
Filed under: Gammaproteobacteria bacterium
Lineage: Bacteria; Pseudomonadati; Pseudomonadota; Gammaproteobacteria
Description: partial 23S ribosomal RNA
Rfam family: Bacterial large subunit ribosomal RNA
Source: RNAcentral
CGCACCUCUGGUGUACCGGUUGUCAUGCCAAUGGCACCGCCGGGUAGCUCAGUGCGGAAGUGAUAACCGCUGAAAGCAUCUAAGCGGGAAGCCCCCCUCAAGAUUAGGUUUCUCUGGACCUUUAAGGUCCCUAAAGGGUCGUUGUAGACCACAACGUUGAUAGGCGGGGUGUGGAAGUGCAGUAAUGCAUUAAGCUAACCCGUACUAAUUGCCCGUGAGGCUUGAUCAUAUAACACCCAAGAAG